Non-coding RNA from Thamnophis sirtalis, 948 nucleotides. The record is from RefSeq and is a predicted model, not a curated record. Lineage: Eukaryota; Metazoa; Chordata; Lepidosauria; Squamata; Natricidae.
GCCUGUCUAAUCCCAAAACAAUCAUAAUGGUGAAAAUAUUGGACUUAGCCUGGGAAGGUUUAGUUUCACAUGGAAACUCACUGUGUGACUUUUGGACCAAUUAGUCACUCUCAUCAAUCUUGUGGCGAUCAAUUGCAGGGAUAGCCCCAUAUACUGCGAUUUGGAAGACAAAGACCAAGGAGGAAGAGUAAAUUAAAUGGAAUGAAAUGAUGACCAGCCAGUCUGAAGGCAAACUUUCGACUACUCAAGGACACUCAAUAAACCAUCCACCAUCUUUUCUGACCAGGAUUGAAAAACGUGGCAGUGGGGUGUUACCAAAAUCAAGUGGCAAGCAGGCUACAUUUGUUUCUCUGGAGGUCACAGGUAAGGCAAGAUUUCUCUGGAAGACAGGUGAGUAGCCUCAAUUGCAAGCUAGAUCUUACCCACGCCAAGGACAUAACUCAGGUGGAUCUGCAGGGACUUUGGCUCUCCUUCUUUCCUUCCUAGGCAUUCCUGCCCUUAUAUGGCAAAAGCUGGUGGCGACAGAGGGAAGGAAGGGACAAAGGUCGCCCUGGCACUUCCUCUGUUCAGGCACACUCUUUCUCCAAGGUGCUGUGUGCCCACUAAGCAGACACAACAGCCAAGCUACAAAGGAUUAGUCACCAUGCCGGAACUUAAUACCAAAGUCACCAAGACUCUGAACAAAACCACACCUGGACUUCAAAUAUGGAGAAUUGAGGUGAGAAUGAAUGUGAAUAUGCGCAAAAACCCAUGUGGAUGGAAGGACAGUAUUCCAUAGAACAAUGAGCAGAUGUCUAUGUAGAAGAAACUAGUUGGUGGCAAUUUUACACAAGAACUACCCAGCUUGUAGCUUCCCAAAGCAUGGAGCCAGCCUCAGGAAAAUCAAAAAAGUGUUACCAAAAUCUAAUAUUAAUAUUACAAAAAAUGGGAUUCUUUAAAACACAAGAC